GACCCGAAAUUUAUUAUUCGUUAUUUAAUUAUUUUAUUACGCGAGGGCGUAAUUCAUAAUUAUUUUAUUAAGCGGCGAAUAAUUAAUUGGCGCGAAUAUAAGUUAAUACGCGAGUUAGGAGCGUUACGUGAGUGAACCGUAUUAUUGGGCCUUGGAUUUGUUAUUGGGCUUUUGGCCCAAUGGGCCAAGACAAGUGGGAAGGGGGAGGUUUACUCAUGCAAGUGGGAGGAGAUAUUUCCACAAUUUUUCUUGUUGGAUAAGAAGAAGAGAAAAAGUCAUGAGCAAGUGGAUGAUCAUGGUUAAGUGAGUGAACCAUGAUUAACUUGAACUUGGAGAGCAAGACUAGAUCAAGUGACCAUGAUUCUUUGUGUGGUGAGCAAGAAUAGAUCAAAAGGCCAUGUUUAAUUCAAGCUUUCUAUAUAAUUAUAUGAAUAGGAAAAAUCACAUAAUUCAUUCAUUUCUUUCCUCAAAACCGUGAGCCUUCCUUAUCAUGCCUAACCCUUCACCAAAUUUUCAUUUCUUCACCAAAUUGAUCCAUUAGAAGCUUGUUGGAAUCAUGGGAGUUCAAGGAUCAUCAUCCCUAAGCUAGGGCAAGCAAGAGAGCAAAGCAAGAGGGUGCUAGGGCUUGAGAAAGAGAGGAGCUCAUGAGAGCUAGAACAUGAGGAGCUUGAGGAUUCAUCAAAUUUCUAAGAUAUCCAGAUUGACAGGUUAUAUGUUAGCUUGUCCGAGUAGCGUGGUGAAGCUCCGCUCUUAUUGUGACACGGGGAGAAAAGGGGUUUUGUAUAUAUAUAUAAAAAUUCCUUUAGAAAAUUACUCUGUAAUUGCUUAUGUUUUCAUAUAAGAAUUAUUCUUUGUGAAAAGUAUUGGUUUUGUAUAACUUAUAACGCAUCGUGUUGAUGCGGAGGA
Trifolium pratense (red clover) is the source of this 906-nucleotide long non-coding RNA. RefSeq lists it as uncharacterized. The record is from RefSeq and is a predicted model, not a curated record. Lineage: Eukaryota; Viridiplantae; Streptophyta; Magnoliopsida; Fabales; Fabaceae. The transcript has 2 exons.